UAGGAAGGAAACAAUAGUAAAGCAUAUUUCAAAUUUCUAAUUCAAGUUUAAAAAUUUUCAUUACAAGUGAAAAUUUCAAUAUGUAAAAUUUUAAAACAGAAAAGACUGAAAAAUCAAAGUUAAAGGAAGACUUCUUUGUCUUUGAGUACUUUGAACAUGUGGUUUUCUAUGCUACUAAACCUCUUAGGAGCAAAAAUUCCUUCAUAUACGGGUUGUCUAAAAGAUAAUUAAAUAAUUUUGUGAAAUAAACAAACUUAGAGCCUUACUCAGAUUUUAUAAAGAGGUUCGUUUUCAUUCAUGUUG
This 303-nucleotide long non-coding RNA is filed under the name Bos taurus (domestic cattle). RNAcentral describes it as "long non-coding RNA NONBTAT022061". Lineage: Eukaryota; Metazoa; Chordata; Mammalia; Artiodactyla; Bovidae. The record is from RNAcentral.